This 822-nucleotide ribosomal RNA is filed under the name Triticum aestivum (bread wheat). RNAcentral's name for it is "partial small subunit ribosomal RNA". The record is from RNAcentral. Lineage: Eukaryota; Viridiplantae; Streptophyta; Magnoliopsida; Poales; Poaceae.
AUGGGUGCCAAAGGCGCCGCGCUCAGCAACGCCAUCUCGUACGCCGUGAACCUGGUGAUGCUUUUCCUGUACGUCAGGCUGUCGAGCUCCUGCAGGGACACGUGGAACGGGUUCUCCAUGGAGGGGUUCAAGGAUCUGCGCAAAUUCGCCGAUCUCGCCGUGCCCUCUGCCAUGAUGAUCUGCUUGGAGUGGUGGGCUUUCGAAACACUUGUGCUGCUGUCUGGUCUUCUGCCGAACCCUCAGCUGGAGACUUCAGUGCUGUCAAUUUGCCUUAACACUGGGAUUCUUCUCUUCAUGAUGCCAUCGGGGCUUGGUUAUUCCGUGAGCACGCGCGUUUCCAACGAACUUGGUGCUGGACAGCCUCAGGCAGCAAAGUUGGCAACGAGGGUAGUCGUGUACAUCGCCUUCUUCUUAGGCUUGUUCCUGACCUUGGGCAUGACCCUGCUAUGCCACGUUUGGGGGUACAUGUACAGCAACGAGCAGGAGGUCGUGGCAUACAUUGCCAAGAUGCUGCCGAUUCUUGGGAUAUCUUUCUUCAUAGAUGGCCUUCACGGAUCUCUCUCAGGCGUGCUCACGGGCUGCGGCAAGCAAAAGAUCGGCGCCACGGUGAACCUCGGCGUGUUCUACUUGGCAGGCAUCCCUAUGGAGGUGCUGCUUGCGUUUGUCUUCCAUCUCAAUGGAAUGGGCCUUUGGCUCGGCAUCGUCUGUGGCAGCCUCAUCAAAGUGUUCUUGUUUGCAUCUGUCACAUGGACCAUAGACUGGAGCAUGGAAGCUACCAAGGCAAAGGACAGGGUAUUCGGCUCAUCUCUGCCAGUAGCAUGA